GAUGAACGCUGGCGGCGUGCCUAAUACAUGCAAGUCGAGCGAACGGACGAGAAGCUUGCUUUUCUGAUGUUAGCGGCGGGCGGGUGAGUAACACGUGGAUAACCUACCUAUAAGACUGGGAUAACUUCGGGAAACCGGAGCUAAUACCGGAUAAUAUUUUGAACCGCAUGGUUCAAAAGUGAAAGACGGUCUUGCUGUCACUUAUAGAUGGAUCCGCGCUGCAUUAGCUAGUUGGUAAGGUAACGGCUUACCAAGGCAACGAUGCAUAGCCGACCUGAGAGGGUGAUCGGCCACACUGGAACUGAGACACGGUCCAGACUCCUACGGGAGGCAGCAGUAGGGAAUCUUCCGCAAUGGGCGAAAGCCUGACGGAGCAACGCCGCGUGAGUGAUGAAGGUCUUCGGAUCGUAAAACUCUGCUAUUAGGGAAGAACAUAUGUGUAAGUAACUGUGCACAUCUUGACGGUACCUAAUCAGAAAGCCACGGCUAACUACGUG
RNAcentral lists this ribosomal RNA (497 nucleotides) under uncultured bacterium. RNAcentral's name for it is "partial 16S ribosomal RNA". It matches the Rfam family "Bacterial small subunit ribosomal RNA", at positions 28 to 507 of the family's 1533-position model. The record is from RNAcentral.